Molecule: long non-coding RNA, 2582 nt
Organism: Mauremys mutica (yellowpond turtle)
Lineage: Eukaryota; Metazoa; Chordata; Testudines; Geoemydidae
Exons: 4
Source: RefSeq, a predicted model, not a curated record
UGAAUCAUCUCCUUUCAUAACUUACUUAAGCAGUUCUCUCUAUUUUUUCUAAAUAUUUUCCUUACAUCUAUAUUACUGCUGUAUAGGAAAGUAAUUAAAUACAGCAAAUUAGAUACAAAGUAAGAAUGAACAAUGGUGAAUUUCUGUGCAAAUAUGUAUUGGUACCAUAAUUGAAUAAAUUCAUUCAUUGGAAAAGCCCAUAUUGAUAAUACAAUAGAUGACUAAAUUGAAAUCACUGACUAUAGUUUGCAACUUUAGUCCAAAAAAUGUCAUCUGUGUUGAAAUAUUAACAAUAUAUCUAAAGUGCUUCCGAAACAGCAAUUUGUAUUAUUCCUCCAGGACAUAUUAUGCAUAUUGUUACAAAAAUCCUAUUACAUGGUUGUGUGUUUUUAAAUUACACCAAUAUCCAUGCCAUGCCAGAAGACCCCUGGAAUACCUACAUACCUGAAGAAUAUUUUUCUAGUUUCACUAGGGGAAAGGAUUUGCAUCCAAAUAAAACAGAAGUUAGAGGCUGCACCUAAGAGUUCAGUUUAGCUUAAGGUUAUGAGUAUUUGCCUUAGAAGAAGCAGGAGCCUUGAUAGUUACAGCUGUUACUGGAAACCACUCUUGUUGGACAAAUAGUUAGUUAUAUUACACAGCCAUUUAUUUCUAUCGUUCUAUUAAUGGAUUAAAAAAACAUACCAAAUUUAAGCAAUGAAUACACACAACCCUAAACCGUACACUUUUGCUCCCAACCUCCAAAUCCUGAGUCUGAACCUUUCCUACUGAUUAUGGUUCAGAAAUAAAUAAAUAUUAAGAUAUACUUAUUUUGAAUAUGAUAGGCAAAGUUGUUUGGCUACCCUCCAUCCCCAUUUUGUGUCCGUAUUGUAUUUUUUCUUCUCUCUGUGUUUAGGACAAUACGGGUAUUGGGAGUGAAUCUCCCCUCACUGCAUUUAGUACCCCUUGUUCUACCCACUUUGCAGUUUGCUUUCGUCUUUCCAAAUUGAUGAAUUUCAUUCACCUGUUUGACCAUAGUUUGAAUUUACAUUUAAAAAAACCCACCAAUAAAGAUAUAAAGUAGCCAUAUGAGGAGCACAAAGCAGCUAGGAUUUUUGGAGUUCGGUUCAUCAGUCAAGCCUUUGGAAACUUUUAAGAGUCAUAGACUGGGCUAAUAAUAGCUGCAAACAUCAUGUACUUCACCACUGUGACAGAAGCAGCUCCACGGAACACCUGAAAGCACUUUGAAAACCAUAAAUUGAGAACCACUGGGGAAGGGGAAGAGUGAAUUUUUCACCUUUGCUGCUGCUAUUGUUUUGCUGGAGAUAGUUUUCUACAACAUUGGAUUAACAAGGCAGCAACAAUUCUGUUUACAUUGUGAUGAUUAUCAUCAAAAUAGAAUAGAGAAACUUAUUUUUCUCAUCUAAAAUAUUGUCCAAUGCUCCAGAAAUGGCAGGCCCUGAAAAAGGCAGAGGAUCUCUUACAGCAUUUUCAUUACAUUUAUUUAUUUCCUGUUCCUGAUGUGACAUAUUUGUCUUUGUUUGGGGUGGGUAGGAAAGAAUUUUGCUCUGUGUUUCAGUGAGACUUUUACAAUCAUUCACUGUUCAGACCAGGCUGGGCAGAAGGAUAGUAUAAUGAUUUCAAAGAGGGUAGGGCUUUUCGUUUGAUUGAUCAAACCUUAUCAGAUGCCUAUUGAAUAUGAGCGAUCACUUAUAAUACUAUUUUCCCCAAACCACACAAAGACACUUGUGCUCAAAAUUUGGAAAAUUGUGAUUGAUCAAAUUUUUUGGUUAUAAUGGAUAAUGUUUGCAACUUUAACUAUAGUAGUUCUAUUAACACCCAUUUUAAUGUCUCAUUACAGUUAAAUAAGAGCUGGCUUUCUGCUUGAUUGAAAUGUAGUGAAUAAAUGUGGCAGGUACUUGCAGCUGCUAACAAUAUUAAGUUGCUACUCCUCCAGCAUUUUCCUUCUAUCUUUACACUUGUGCUAUAGCCACAAGUCUUAACCUGAAUUUACUGCAUUGUGUUAAUUUUUUAUAUUCUCCUCAUGUUAGUCUCCGAAGACUUUCCAGCAUAUCACAAUAUCUUUUUUCAGUAACGUGCAUAUAACUUUUUGCAAAUGCUCAGAUUAGAUUUACUGGUUGUGAUGCUUUGCCUAUUAGUCUCUGUUUACAUAUGUCAAGCUCGUACACCAAACAAUACCCAGAUGUUAAGACAGAAGAGGAGAUAGAAUGUCAGAGAGAUAUUGGGGCAAAAAACAAAAGCAGCAGUCAAGGCUAAUUCAGGAUUGCACCGUAUCAAGAGGGUAAAACCAGCCCUGAUUAUACUUGGAUGAGAAGAGGCAGACAGAGGACUUGGCAUCGACUUUGAAGUUUGACUGAGGAGAAGCUGAAUGAGAUGAUACCCAUGUGUUAGAACCCUGAGUGUCAGGUUAAAGAUGAUAACAUGUUCCUGAUUCUCCAGUGGUAUGGGAAUGGAGACCAGUUUAAGUGGCAUUGUGUCAUAUUGCUAGAGUUCAUGCUUAAACUUUGAUCCUGCCACAGAUUCUGUUUUUAAAUGCACUGUACAAAUAUAUCACAUUAUCACAUUAAAUAUAUUUUUGUUUGCCC